AGCAGCCGCGGUAAUUCCAGCUCCAAUAGCGUAUAUUAAAGUUGCUGCAGUUAAAAAGCUCGUAGUUGGAUUUCUGGUUUGAUACAGUUUACCAGCCACGGUUUCGUGUGUUAGUGUUUUCUGUUCUGGCCAUCCUUCCAAUUGCUGCUCACUUUUCUUCAUUGAUUGGUGAGUGGUGUUGGAUCUUUUACUUUGAAAAAAUUAGAGUGUUUCAAGCAGGCUUUAUGCUAUGAAUACAUUAGCAUGGAAUAAUAAUUUAGGACUUCGGUUCUAUUUUGUUGGUUUCUAGGACUGAAGUAAUGAUUGAUAGGGAUAGUUGGGGGUGCUAGUAUUCAGCGGCCAGAGGUGAAAUUCUCGGAUUCGCUGAAGACUAACUUAUGCGAAAGCAUUCACCAAGGAUGUCUUCUUUAAUCAAGAACGAAAGUUAGGGGAUCGAAGACGAUCAGAUACCGUCGUAGUCUUAACCAUAAACUAUGCCGACUAGGGAUCGGACGAUGUUAACUUUUCUUGACUCG
This 515-nucleotide ribosomal RNA is filed under the name uncultured Glissomonadida. RNAcentral describes it as "bacterial SSU rRNA". It matches the Rfam family "Eukaryotic small subunit ribosomal RNA", at positions 569 to 1078 of the family's 1831-position model. The record is from RNAcentral. Lineage: Eukaryota; Cercozoa; Glissomonadida.